AAUUUUGGACAAUGGGGGAAACCCUGAUCCAGCCAUCACGCGUGUAUGAUGAAGGCCUUCGGGUUGUAAAGUACUUUUGGCAGAGAAGAAAAGGUAGCUUCUAAUACGAGAUACUGCUUACGGUAUCUGCAGAUUAAGCACCGGCUAACUACGUGCAUUCAGCCUCGGUAAUACGUAGGGUGCAAGCGUUAAUCGGGAUUACUGGGCGUAAAGCGUGUGUAGGCGGUUCGGAAAGAAAGAUGUGGAAUCCCAGGGCUCAACCUUGGAACUGCAUUUUUAACUGCCGAGCUAGAGUAUGUCAGAGGGGGGUAGAAGUCCACGUGUAGCAGUGAAAUGCGUAGAUAUGUGGAGGAAUACCGAUGGCGAAGGCAGCCCCCUGGGAUAAUACUGACGCUCAGACACGAAAGCGUGGGGAGCGAACAGG
Molecule: ribosomal RNA, 424 nt
Filed under: uncultured bacterium
Lineage: Bacteria
Description: partial 16S ribosomal RNA
Rfam family: Bacterial small subunit ribosomal RNA
Source: RNAcentral